GUGGGGAAUCUUCCGCAAUGGACGAAAGUCUGACGGAGCAACGCCGCGUGAGUGACGAAGGCCUUCGGGUUGUAAAGCUCUGUUGUCGGGGAAGAACACUUUGCUUGUGAAUAAUGAGCAGAGAUGACGGUACCCGACGAGGAAGCCACGGCUAACUACGUGCCAGCAGCCGCGGUAAUACGUAGGGGACGAGCGUUGUCCGGAUUUACUGGGCGUAAAGGGCGCGUAGGCGGUCAUUUAAGUCAGCUGUGAAAUGGUUUGGCUUAACCGGAUCAUGCGGUUGAAACUGGAUGACUGGAGUGAUGGAGAGGCAAGUGGAAUUCCCAGUGUAGCGGUGAAAUGCGUAGAUAUUGGGAAGAACACCGGUGGCGAAGGCGACUUGCUGGCCAGCAACUGACGCUGAGGCGCGAAAGCCAGGGGAGCAAACGGGAUUAGAAACCCGAGUAGUCC
This 450-nucleotide ribosomal RNA is filed under the name uncultured bacterium. RNAcentral's name for it is "partial 16S ribosomal RNA". It matches the Rfam family "Bacterial small subunit ribosomal RNA", at positions 354 to 796 of the family's 1533-position model. The record is from RNAcentral.